AAAACAUGUAGAAUUUAUUUAAACUAUAGCCUAUUUUGAUUUGACUAUCUCAGCUUUUAAAAUUUUGACUCUACUAUCUAACCUUGUUAUUUAUUUGAUUUGAAUUGGCCAAUAGCACGUUGACUUUAAUAUUUAAACAAAUUUCUUACUUUAAUAAAUUUAUAGCUGUGAAAAUACAUAAAGUAUACUAACUAAGUUUGUAAAGAUAAAUAGAGUUCAAAUUUGAAGUCAAAAUGCCGGUAAUCGGCUCAAAUCAAACAAAUUGAAAAGUUAGAUAAUAAAAUUAAAAAUUUUAAAACAUGAGAUAGCCAAAUCAAAAUGGUCCUUAAUUUGAAAUUUUAAUUUUACUGGUUUAAUUUCUAACUAUUUAAUAGAUUAUGUGAUAUAAUAUGUGUACGCUUUAUUUUUAUCUUAUUGAAAUUAAAUUAGAAAUUUAAAACGAACUGUGAUUUCGAAUUUUGUAAGCUCUAUUUAGUAUUGCAGGAAAUAAAAGAAUAUUUUAAUUAUUUGCUUUCGUAA
Molecule: long non-coding RNA, 519 nt
Filed under: Ananas comosus (pineapple)
Lineage: Eukaryota; Viridiplantae; Streptophyta; Magnoliopsida; Poales; Bromeliaceae
Description: long non-coding RNA (ACOM_LNC029044)
Source: RNAcentral